UGGGGAAUAUUGGACAAUGGGCGCAAGCCUGAUCCAGCCAUGCCGCGUGAGUGAUGAAGGCCUUCGGGUUGUAAAGCUCUUUCGCACGCGACGAUGAUGACGGUAGCGUGAGAAGAAGCCCCGGCUAACUUCGUG
This 135-nucleotide ribosomal RNA is filed under the name bacterium 081655. RNAcentral's name for it is "partial 16S rRNA". It matches the Rfam family "Bacterial small subunit ribosomal RNA", at positions 355 to 507 of the family's 1533-position model. The record is from RNAcentral.